AAGUCGUAACAAGGUUUCCGUAGGUGAACCUGCGGAAGGAUCAUUAACGAAUAACUAUGGUGUCUUGGUUGUAGCUGGCUCCUCGGAGCAAUGUGCACGCCCGCCAUUUUUAUCUUUCCACCUGUGCACCGACUGUAGGUCUGGAUACCUCUCGCCCUUCACGGGGCGGAUGCGAGGGUUGCCCAUAACACGGCUCUCCUCGAAUUUCCAGGCUCUACGUCUUUUUACACACCCCAAUAGUAUGAUGCAGAAUGUAGUCAAUGGGCUUCUCAGCCUAUAAAACACUAUACAACUUUCAGCAACGGAUCUCUUGGCUCUC
This 319-nucleotide unclassified non-coding RNA is filed under the name Coprinellus xanthothrix. Its description in RNAcentral is "partial internal transcribed spacer region". The stretch from base 1 to 46 matches the Rfam family "Eukaryotic small subunit ribosomal RNA", at positions 1786 to 1831 of the family's 1831-position model. Lineage: Eukaryota; Fungi; Basidiomycota; Agaricomycetes; Agaricales; Psathyrellaceae. The record is from RNAcentral.